CAGCUGUGGGCUCCUGGUGGGCAGCUCUGCAGUGUGGCCUGCCUGGCAGUGGUAUCCUGCCCUCCGCAAAGGGCUGGGAGUCAGGGAAACGCGGCCUGGGAAGGCAGCCAGACAUGUGUUUUCCUAGCACAGUGCCUUGGCCAACUUCGAAAACUGCCAACUGCAACUUGAGGACUGUACAUUUUGAGCUCUUGUUCCACCCACAUUUACCAAUGCCUCCUCCCCAAAGGAGUCCUUUUUUAUUCCUUAGGAUUAGAGUGAAUGCAUCCCCGUGUCCACCUACAGAAAGUACAUGUAGGGUUAAGAACCUCCCUGGGGGAAAUGUAAAGCCGAAGAGACAAGAGACGGGCAAGGUUUAUAAGAUUCCUUUAAGCUUCCCAGACUAUUACAGCACUUGUCACACUGGACUCCAUUUUUUGUGGGUGGGUGGGUGGUGUUUGUUGGUUGAUCUAUUACAUUUGAUCUUGAGCUCUUUGGGGCAAAGUCUGUCUGUGUCUUAAUCACAUUUGUAUGCUCGGAUUCUAGCACAGUACCUGGAACAAAAAUAGGUGUUCAGCAGAGGUUGUAAAGAGGAGUCGACCAAUGAAGGCCUUCUCUUGCUCUCGCCCAUGCCCCGUCUCCAUUGCCAAGUGGAGUUGCCAGGAUCCAACAUCAGCUUCCUUUGGGGUGCGCUUGCUUUGUGGACCUGGGCCAUCGGCCAGAAAUGCAGAACACAACUCUGUGGGCUUUCCUGUCACAGCAAUGCAGGUGUUCCCAGUGAGAACCCCCAGGAAUGCCCAUGCUAGGCUGGGAAGCCGCCAUCUUAAUUCUUUGUGUUUCACUAAUUCCCAGUGUAUUUGUACAAAAGAAGAUAAUUGCCUUGGCCCCACCUGGCAGUGGCAGUAAGUCUGAAUGUCCGUGGAAGGAAGUGUGUUGUAGAAAUCGUGAAGCCCCAGGAGGGUUUUUAAAAAAUUGUUUUGAAGAAACACCAUUUCUUUUUUGUAACUCCAAACCUUUAGAAGAUGAAUGACAUAAUUGAGGCCUGUGUCACAUGUGCUAAGAAGGACUGAUGGAUGGGUAACCAUUCGAAUGAUAAGGAAAUGUUUCUGAUAGAUCCAUAUGGGACAUAGGGCAUGUAAAACAGAUUUUCUUUGCACUCUCUGCUUUGAUCCUGAUGCUUUUAUUGAAAAUCUGUUAGAAAGGGGACAUUCUGAGGUGUCAUAUCAGAUUGGAGAGAGGCCUGGAGUUGGAGUUGUAAGGCUUGGGCUGGGAUUGUCAUGAUCACUGGGUAGAGAAUGUGUCCCAAGCCUUGGAGCCUUGGUUUGCUCUCUGUAAAAGCAGAGGAAUGUCUCAAAGGUUGUUGUGAGAGCAGAAUAAAUAAGGCUCAGGAAAGGUUCCCUAAAGCAUUCAUUAUUUUAUUUUAUUGCCAAUCAGAAGCCAUUUAUAUCUUCUUUCUCCAUGUCAAGGUGAAAUUGAGAUGGUGCCGACUACUUGCCUACUUUUCUUUUCUUUCCCUUUGUGAGUCCUAGAGGCUGAUGUGUUCCCCCCUGGUCUGUCAUGCCUGAAGUCUUGUCCUCCCCCAGCACCCCAAGAGCUGUAGGUGCACCCUCUUCGCUCUGAUUCCAUGCAGGGUCUUUGAACACUUGUGUGUGCCUCGCUAUUGUGUAACGGGUGGGUGCAAUGUCCUGCUGCUGUCACUAUAGAUAGAUGGAUUCAAAUGUUGUGCUUACAAAGGAAUUAGAGUCGUGCAAGCCAAAUCCAAGCCUGAACAAGAUUUGAUGUUGGAUGAAUGGUACAGGACGUGCGCUUUCAAAAUUUGGCUUGAGUUUGUACAGAAUGGUCAUUUGAACUUUGUUUCCAUGUAUCCAUGUGGAACAUGAGAACAGCAUUUUAAUCUACCCUACCACAUAGGAAUGCCA
Molecule: long non-coding RNA, 1898 nt
Filed under: Marmota monax (woodchuck)
Lineage: Eukaryota; Metazoa; Chordata; Mammalia; Rodentia; Sciuridae
Source: RNAcentral